Molecule: unclassified non-coding RNA, 234 nt
Filed under: Hevea brasiliensis (rubber tree)
Lineage: Eukaryota; Viridiplantae; Streptophyta; Magnoliopsida; Malpighiales; Euphorbiaceae
Source: RNAcentral
AAAAUAAACAGAUUAACCCAGAAAAGAUAAGCCCGGAGCAAGCAAAAAACCGAUGGGUGGUCAUUUUAUUCUUUAUUUCGACUCGAACACAGCUGAAACAUCUCGCCUCAAUCACGGUACUCUUCCAUAAACUUUUCAUGAAAUGCCUUGAGCCUGGUGAUAAUGGCCGGAAUCUUCUCCUCUUGAGGCAGGAUAGUGCAUCUUAUAUGCCAUGUUCCGGGUACCUGUCCAAAG